AAGGUGUUAGUUUAAUUAAAAUAUUAUAAUUUGAGUGUAAAGAUAGAUAUACCUUA
RNAcentral lists this transfer RNA (56 nucleotides) under Paratomella rubra. Its description in RNAcentral is "tRNA-Gln". The record is from RNAcentral. Lineage: Eukaryota; Metazoa; Xenacoelomorpha; Acoela; Paratomellidae.